CAGUCGCCGCGGUAAUACAGAGGGUGCGAGCGUUAAUCGGAUUUACUGGGCGUAAAGCGUGCGUAGGCGGCUUCUUAAGUCGGAUGUGAAAUCCCUGAGCUUAACUUAGGAAUUGCAUUCGAUACUGGGAAGCUAGAGUAUGGGAGAGGAUGGUAGAAUUCCAGGUGUAGCGGUGAAAUGCGUAGAGAUCUGGAGGAAUACCGAUGGCGAAGGCAGCCAUCUGGCCUAAUACUGAUGCUGAGGUACGAAAGCAUGGGGAGCAAACAGGAUUAGAUACCCCCGUAGUCCCUGUCUCUUAUAC
Molecule: ribosomal RNA, 301 nt
Filed under: uncultured bacterium
Lineage: Bacteria
Description: partial 16S ribosomal RNA
Rfam family: Bacterial small subunit ribosomal RNA
Source: RNAcentral